AGCGGCGCUAUACAUGCAAGUCGAGCGGACCGACGGGAGCUUGCUCCCUUAGGUCAGCGGCGGACGGGUGAGUAACACGUGGGUAACCUGCCUGUAAGACUGGGAUAACUCCGGGAAACCGGGGCUAAUACCGGAUGCUUGAUUGAACCGCAUGGUUCAAUCAUAAAAGGUGGCUUUUAGCUACCACUUCAGAUGGACCCGCGGCGCAUUAGCUAGUUGGUGAGGUAACGGCUCACCAAGGCGACGAUGCGUAGCCGACCUGAGAGGGUGAUCGGCCACACUGGGACUGAGACACGGCCCAGACUCCUACGGGAGGCAGCAGUAGGGAAUCUUCCGCAAUGGACGAAAGUCUGACGGAGCAACGCCGCGUGAGUGAUGAAGGUUUUCGGAUCGUAAAACUCUGUUGUUAGGGAAGAACAAGUCCGUUCGAAUAGGGCGGACCUUGACGGUACCUAACCAGAAAGCCACGGCUAACUACGUGCCAGCAGCCGCGGUAAUACGUAGGUGGCAAGCGUUGUCCGGAAUUAUUGGGCGUAAAGCGCGCGCAGGCGGUUUCUUAAGUCUGAUGUGAAAGCCCCCGGCUCAACCGGGGAGGGUCAUUGGAAACUGGGGAACUUGAGUGCAGAAGAGGAGAGUGGAAUUCCACGUGUAGCGGUGAAAUGCGUAGAGAUGUGGAGGAACACCAGUGGCGAAGGCGACUCUCUGGUCUGUAACUGACGCUGAGGCGCGAAAGCGUGGGGAGCGAACAGGAUUAGAUACCCUGGUAGUCCACGCCGUAAACGAUGAGUGCUAAGUGUUAGAGGGUUUCCGCCCUUUAGUGCUGCAGCAAACGCAUUAAGCACUCCGCCUGGGGAGUACGGUCGCAAGACUGAAACUCAAAGGAAUUGACGGGGGCCCGCACAAGCGGUGGAGCAUGUGGUUUAAUUCGAAGCAACGCGAAGAACCUUACCAGGUCUUGACAUCCUCUGAAACCCUAGAGAUAGGGCUUCCCCUUCGGGGGCAGAGUGACAGGUGGUGCAUGGUGUCGUCAGCUCGUGUCGUGAGAUGUGGUAAGUCCCGCACGAGCGCAACCUGAUCUAGUGGCAGCAUCAG
RNAcentral lists this ribosomal RNA (1092 nucleotides) under Bacillus licheniformis. RNAcentral describes it as "bacterial SSU rRNA". It matches the Rfam family "Bacterial small subunit ribosomal RNA", at positions 38 to 1124 of the family's 1533-position model. Lineage: Bacteria; Bacillati; Bacillota; Bacilli; Caryophanales; Bacillaceae. The record is from RNAcentral.